CAGCAGCCACGGGAAUACGUAGGUGGCAAGUGUUGUCCGGAAUUAUUGGGCGUAAAGGGCUCGCAGGCGGUUUCUUAAGUCUGAUGUGAAAGCCCCCGGCUCAACCGGGGAGGGUCAUUGGAAACUGGGAAACUUGAGUGCAGAAGAGGAGAGUGGAAUUCCACGUGUAGCGGUGAAAUGCGUAGAGAUGUGGAGGAACACCAGUGGCGAAGGCGACUCUCUGGUCCGUAACUGACGCUGAGGAGCGAAAGCGUGGGGAGCGAACAGGAUUAGAUACCCGUGUAGUCCUGUCUCUUAUACA
This 301-nucleotide ribosomal RNA is filed under the name uncultured bacterium. RNAcentral describes it as "partial 16S ribosomal RNA". It matches the Rfam family "Bacterial small subunit ribosomal RNA", at positions 509 to 809 of the family's 1533-position model. The record is from RNAcentral.